This is a long non-coding RNA of Scaptodrosophila lebanonensis, 4488 nucleotides long. RefSeq lists it as uncharacterized. NCBI's taxonomy places the organism in Eukaryota, Metazoa, Arthropoda, Insecta, Diptera, Drosophilidae. The transcript is spliced from 2 exons. The record is from RefSeq and is a predicted model, not a curated record.
CAACACUAGCCAAAAUGAAGGUGAUAAACUGCAACACAUGUGACGCAUGUGAAGUGGUGGAAAACGCCUCGCAUAUAAUCUUCAGCUGUAUAAAAUAUACCACUACAAGACAGCAAUUCCCAACACUGCUAAAGUACAACAGCAUUUAUAACUUUUUUGCUAACGAAAAUACCAGCUCAUACAAAUCAAUCACACAAUUUCUAAACACAAUUAAGUCUAAUAUUUAAAUGUUAACAUCGUACUAAAAACACAAUUGGUGAUGGCGUUUUCCUCGUAACCAACGUGGACGGCCAAAUAAUUCUUUGCAUUAAACUGUGCAAAGUAACCUAAAUCAAAAAAAAAAAAAAAAGAGCUGGAUUGUAGCAAUUUAUUAACGGAAUGGCCAAGAUGGAAACAGGAGUUCUUAAUGUACUUGAUGGCGACUGGCAAAUCAACGGAACCGGAAAAGAGAAAACUUGCAAACUUCUUGUGGCUAGUGGGAAGAAAAGGUACACAAAUCUACAACACAAUGUACCCGAAUGAUGGUACACAGAAUUCUAUGCUUGGAACAGUAACAACGGAAAGCAGUGUUCAGCAACGCACAAUGGAGGAGGUGCUUAAAAAGUUUGAUGAAUUUUGCCUACCACAACGAAAUAAUGCAAUGGAGUCUUACAAAUUCAACAUGAUUACACAAAAAGAGCGUCAACCUUUUAGUGAAUUUGAAACAAACUUGCGGGAACAGCUACAUCAUUGUGAAUUCGUAUGUGAGUGUGGCAAAUCAUACGAAAACCGAAUGCUGCGUGACGGUAUUAUCGGAGUGCAUGACAAAAAACUACAACUGAAACUUCUGGACGGGCGUGAUGAACAUUUGUCAAAAGUCAUUGAUACUUGCAAAGCACCUGAAGCAGCCUCUAUCACUAAAGGAAUACUGGAAGGAAACCAGUCGGUUAAUAUCAUCAAAGACGACGGACCUGUAAUUAAUGCGAUUAAUAGAGUUUGCUUCAACUGCGGGGGACCAUGAAAAUUUGGUCACAAAGACGAAUGCAAAGCAAAGGACAUAACGUGUCAUCGUUGUGCAAAAAAGGGUCAUUUCCAAAGGAUGUGCCGAAAGCAGAAAUCUCAAACCAUGGGCGUGAAGACAGCAAGCCAGAAGGAAAACAAGAACGAAGGAGAAUAAAUUCAAUCGGAGUAAAACACAAGAGGUGGACCAAAGACUAUCAGAUAGGCGGACAGAUAGUUACAUUUAAGCUAGACAGCGGAUCCGAUGUAAACUGCAUUCAAAGAAAUCUACUUGAAAAACUUAAAAAGGAAAAUAAUCUUAAGCUUAAUUAUGAAUUGAAUGAAAUGUUGGUUUUGGAUUAUAAUGGCAACAAGAUAAAAGUAUAUGGAGCAGUACAGCUACAAUGUUAUGAUUUAAAACUAGAAAUUGAGCAAAUGAUUAAGUUUAUAAUUGUAGCCGAUAACUGUGAGCCGAUAUUAGGGUUAGAAACGUGUGAAGAGUUAGGAUUAAUGAAACGAAUGGAUGUAAAUAGUAUUAAACAUCAGUAUGAAAAUAGGGAGUCUUUUGUAAAUACGUAUAGGAAUGUUUUUAACGGAAUCGGAAAGUUUCCAGGAACUGUAAGAAUUCAAUUAACUGAAAAUGCUAAGCCAGUGCUUCAUUAUAAGAAACGGAUACCGAACUCAUUAACAGACAAAUUAAAAGCAGAACUAGACACAAUGCUGGAAAACGAUAUUAUAUCAAAAGUGGAAUAUCCUACCGAUUGGGUGAACAACUUGCAAAUAAUUGAACUAGUAUAGCCUUUCACCCUUUGGGUACAGGCUAUAAAAACCAUGUGGAAAACUUCGAAUUUGUCUUGAUCCCAAGCCACUAAAUUUAUGUAUUAAGCGAGAGCAUUUCCUCAUUCCCACCAUUGAUGACCUAACAAGAAAAUUAGUGGGUCAACGGAUUUUUUCGGUAUUUGACUUAAGCAGUGGGUUUUGGCACAUGGAAUUAGAUAAAGCAAGCUCGGAUUUGACAACCUUUAUGACUCCUUUUGGGAGUUUCAGAUUUAAACGUGUACCAUUCGGUCUCAAUUGUGCACCGGAAAUGUUUCAACGGAAAAUGGUCAAUAUUUUCGGGGAUUUACCAGGAGUUAUGGUAUACUUUAACGAUUUAGCCAUCUGUGCAGAAAGUAAGGAAGAACAUGAUCAGAUUGUCCGAUUGAUUAUGGAGAGGGCACGUAUAAAUGACGUAUAAUUUAAUCCAGACAAAAUUCAGUAUUCUUGUACUGAAAUCAAGUUCAUGGGAAACGUUAUAUCGGAGGGAAAAAUAAAGCCGCAGGUUAAAUACAGGGAUGCAAUUCUCAAAAUAAGGAAGCCUCAGAAUAAAUCAGAUGUUUUGAGAUUUUUCGGCCUUCUGAAGUAUAGCCAGAUACAUUCCGAAUCUCUCAAGGCAAUCGGCUAAUUUGCGAAACUUGACAAAAAACGAUACGGAUUUCAAUUGGACUGCAGAACAUGAAAAAGAAUUUAAUAACCUAUUAGCCAUUGUAACGGAAGAGCCAGUUUUGGCUAUAUAUGAUCCGAAACUCCCAGUGAUUGUACAAACAGAUGCAUCCAAAGACGGACUGGGCUGUGUAAUAGUGCAAAAUGGACACCCUGUGGAGUUCGCUUCACGAACUCUCAGUGGCAGUGAGCAAAAAUGGUGCCAGCUGGAAAAAGAACUAUUAGCAGUUGUGUUUGCAUGCCAGCGGUUUCAUUUCUUUUUAUAUGGGCGCGAAUUCACUGUUGAGAGUGACCAUAAACCAUUAGAGACAUUGGUUAAGAAGGAUAUUGACGAUGUUACCAUGCGACUUCAACGAAUGUUUAUGUUCUUAUUGAAAUAUGCAAAAAUGACUAUUGCUUCUAAUCCAGGUAAAGAAAUGCUUGUGGCAGAUUGCUUAUCUCGUGCUCAAUUGCCAGACAUAUCUGAGAUUGAAGGGUUAUCAGGGGUUAUUCACUCGGUUAUAAAGUCAGUUUGUGUAACCAAGGAUAAUUAUGAUCUUUAUGAAAAGGGAUUAGAGGAAGAUGAAAAAUAUUAACGUAUCUGCUCAUUUGUGGCUAACGGCCAGGAUACCAUCAUCUUGAUGACCUGGGCAAGCAGUUUCACGCUAUCAAAUCUGAAUUACAGUUUGAAAGUGGGUUAUUGUUUUGGAAUCACAGGGUUGUCAUACCCUGCAAAAUGCAACACAAAGUUUCCCAAUGGUUGCAUGAACCUCAUCUAGGCAUAGAGAAAACACUCUCACGUGCAAGAAUGCUUUAUUAUUGGCCUGGUAUGAACAAACAAAUAAAAGAACUUAUAGAAUCGUGCAGUGUUUGUGAACAAUUCAGGAGAAAUAAUCAAAAGGAACCGUCAUAUAAUCAAAGUAUUAACAUCAAUAUUUGAUAAAAUCGGAUACCCAACUAUCAUUAAAAGUGAUAAUAGUCCCUUUGGCUCAGCAGAGUUCAGAGAUUUUUCAAGCAACAGUAAUGUUCAAUUAAAAUUUUCAAGCCCCAGGUAUCCACAAAGUAAUGGCCUAGCAGAAAAAGGUGUGGCGAUUGCGAAAAACAUAUUAAAAAGAUGUUAUGAAGCUAAGGAUGUAGAGAAUUUUCAAUAUCGAAUACUUGAAUAUAAUACAACUCCAAUAGCCAGCAUGAAACUAACACCAACAGAACUAUUUUUUGGCAGACUACUCAAGACCAAACUCCCAGUAUCGGAUUCGUUGUUGAUUAGGAAUAACUUAAAGGAGACAGACAUUCAAGACAAAUUAAAAAAGAAAAACAAAAAUACUAUUAUGACCGCAGUGCAAAAUCACUAGCUUUAUUAAAUAUUGACGAUGUGGUUAUUUUUAAGAAAAAUGGUAAUGAAUGGCAUUAUGGAAAAAUUGUGGGAGUUGUAAAUGACCGUUCAUAUAUUAUUAAGGAUACAUUUAACAGCCAUUAUAGACGCAAUCAGCGUUUUAUUGCUAAGACCACUCAUAAGGACUUAAACACAAAUGAAAUAAGUUUUGAAAAUAAUAUCAAGUCAAAUAACACUGGAAACGAUAAUAAUAAUCAGAGUUGGCCUGAAAUACAAAUCGUUGAACCUAAGGACAACAUAUCUAAUAGGGACAACAAUAGUACAAUAAAAGAAAAAUAUAUAAUUGUAGACAGUCCAGACUCAAGUGAAUCAGAGGAUAAAUUUGUAACAGCAUCUGGUUCGGAGGCAAACGACGAAGAACCUAUAAGUCCUUGCUACCGAACCAGAAGUGGCAGAUCUGUACGACCACCUGAGCGGUAUAGAGACAUAGAGUGGUCUUAAGUUAGUUAAGUUAAUUUAAUUAAUUAAAAAAAAAGAAAAGAAAAAAAAGAGAAAAGCAUGUAAUAAGUGUUGAACAUUAAGUGCCAAAUGUUAAACAACACUGGUUAGGCGAAGUUCAAGAAGAACCUAGUUCGUUCCUCAGUUGAUCGUCAACACCCAAAUAAACCAGACGCACAACAACUAAGCUUAUAAUUAAUAAACUUGUAAAUUAUAAA